Musa acuminata AAA Group (dessert banana) is the source of this 385-nucleotide long non-coding RNA. RefSeq lists it as uncharacterized. Lineage: Eukaryota; Viridiplantae; Streptophyta; Magnoliopsida; Zingiberales; Musaceae. The record is from RefSeq and is a predicted model, not a curated record. The transcript is spliced from 3 exons.
GGCCGACAUCGUUCCGGCUGCCAGGAUUGCGUAUGUCAACACCUGCCACAAAACAUCUCAGUUACAAGGAGGCAGCGUGCAGUCCUUGAAACACAUGUGAGAGCUUGGAAGUAGCUGUGCAGACUACGAAUCUAGCAAACUCCAGAAAAUAAUAAGAAUCCAUAUGAUUCAGAAGACUCUUUUCUCAAUCUUCAAGAUUGGAGCUGAUGAACUGGUCUUUCAGAUUGGAGAAUUGAUGCUUCAAUUUGUUGUUCGUCUCUUUGAGGUGUUGAUAUAAACAGGAAUAGAGACACUAAGAAGAAUAUUGAAAGGCUUUCUGCAACAGACAGAAUGGUUCCGUGUUGAUGAGUACUUGACAGAGUGGGAUUAGACUGCUUGCCUGGUC